This is a long non-coding RNA of Lepus europaeus (European hare), 198 nucleotides long. RefSeq lists it as uncharacterized. Lineage: Eukaryota; Metazoa; Chordata; Mammalia; Lagomorpha; Leporidae. The transcript is spliced from 3 exons. The record is from RefSeq and is a predicted model, not a curated record.
GCUGGCUUCUCGCCGACUUAGGUUUCCGUGUUCGGGACCCGUGGCGGGGAGCGUCUGGGGGUUAGUUAGCGCAGGAGCCUGUGGAGACUGUAUCUACUAAAAGAAGUCCUGAAGGAUACUGCUGAACAUGUGAGACAGAGUCCCGAAUGCAAACACUGAAUAUCUUGCAUAAGUGGCAAGACUGGUUCUCCUGAAAAC